RNAcentral lists this ribosomal RNA (284 nucleotides) under uncultured bacterium. Its description in RNAcentral is "partial 16S ribosomal RNA". The record is from RNAcentral.
CGUUUGUUUUUACAAAAGAUUGUUUGAGCAAGUGAAGAAAAGAGACAAAACUUCUCCUUGGUUUUUAUUCAGAAUUAAAACAUCACCGUAUUGCACAUUACUAUUUUAUUAUCUGGCUACGGAUAACAUCAGAAUUUAUUACUCACGAUGACUACGGUUUUGUUAUUAAGAGGAACCAGGAACCUGUUAAAAGUUAGUACGACCAAGAACCCUGCUAAAAUAAAAGAGGCCGCAUUGCUUCAUAUUUGCGGAAAAUCUACAUUUCGGGAAUACUGUUCAACACU